AGGGGCGUGGCUCAACGGGUAGAGCGUCGGUCUCCAAAACCGGAGGUUGCAGGUUCGAAUCCUGUCGCCCCUGC
This 74-nucleotide transfer RNA is filed under the name Micromonospora sp. NBRC 101691. RNAcentral's name for it is "tRNA-Trp". It matches the Rfam family "tRNA". Rfam says of the family: Transfer RNA (tRNA) molecules are approximately 80 nucleotides in length. Their secondary structure includes four short double-helical elements and three loops (D, anti-codon, and T loops). The record is from RNAcentral. Lineage: Bacteria; Bacillati; Actinomycetota; Actinomycetes; Micromonosporales; Micromonosporaceae.